UCGUAAGUCGUUGCCAGGCAUCAUGCCGGCAGCGGCGAGCUUCGUUCGUCCCAUAGGAUGUGACGAGGUUUCACCCGAAAAAGGAA
Molecule: non-coding RNA, 86 nt
Filed under: Pseudomonas yamanorum
Lineage: Bacteria; Pseudomonadati; Pseudomonadota; Gammaproteobacteria; Pseudomonadales; Pseudomonadaceae
Description: gyrA RNA
Rfam family: gyrA RNA
Source: RNAcentral